UGGGCUGGUUCUUCCUGGCAAGGUCCUCUGCUUUUAGUGGUUUUUAUGGUGGUAGUCAGCCUGAAGGCUGAAGGGGCUGGGGACAGGUAGGAAGUGUUUGUGUCUAUGGAGGUAAGUGACAUUAAGUCUAAACACUACACAAGACCACUCAAUUCAUUCCAGUGUUAUCUCUUCCAGAUCUGGAGCACAGCCACCUGUCUCUUCUAAGUCCUGCACACAGAUGUUUGAAAGUGCAGCCUAGUAGGCAGUGAUGGGGCACACCUUUAAUCCCAGCACUCGGGAGGCAGAGGUGCCGGAGUCUCUGUGAUGCAUUCAGAUGUUUACAAGCAAGAGUGCAGAGAGUGGCCCUUCUCCUCCAUGUCUCCAUUCAUCUGGUUCCCUCUGGAGAUAGCCAAUGUGGACACAUUUCCUGCAUCUUACUUUAUUUACAGAUGUAUCUCACAGUAGAAGUUAAGCAGCAGUGACAGGGAACAGAGAGAGGACAUGUGUGGCCGUGGAGCUGACGUCCUGAGGACCCUAGAGAGCAGCAGUGAACCUGCACUCCCAGAGGCCUAGACGCUGCGGGAGCCCCAUGGAAAAGACGUCCUGCCUGAGAUGGGGAGAAUUACAGGCUUCUAGUGAGGGUCACUGCAGCUUCGGUGGGCAGCUGGGAUUGCUCUGUGACAGCCCAUAGUCUUCUGAACAAGUCUGCAGUCCACAGGAAGCACCACCCCUCUGAAUGAGCUAACCCUCCCGAUGGCGUCACCACCUUCAGCACUGUCACAAGCAAAUAGCAAAGACUGGCUUGGGGAAGGACACACUAUAUUUAAAGCAUAGCACCCCAUCCUUGCCUCCUCACAGUC
Molecule: long non-coding RNA, 842 nt
Organism: Microtus oregoni (creeping vole)
Lineage: Eukaryota; Metazoa; Chordata; Mammalia; Rodentia; Cricetidae
Exons: 3
Source: RefSeq, a predicted model, not a curated record